CUCAACAUUCCAGCACCAUUUGGGAGCGCGUUGAACAUAGCUGGGACGGAGAAGGAUAGGCCGAGCCAAGUGAUUGGUUACUUGGUUCAAGCCCGUAGGCAGAUUCCGUAGGACCCAACAGGGACAAACGCGGAGUCAAUGCCGAGAGGUGAUGAGGUUGGGCUUCGGCCCGAAAACUCGGUGAUUCCAAGCUUCCAAGAAAAGCAGCGAUGUGAGCGCCUCAGAUGUCCGUACCGAAAACCGACUCAGGUGGGCGGGGUGAGUAUCCCAAGGCGCGUGAGAGAACGCUGGCUAAGGAACUCGGCAAAAUUACACCGUAACUUCGGGAGAAGGUGUGCCUCUAUUAGGUGAAGGGCUUGCGCCUGGAGCUGACGGGGGUUGCAGAGAAAUGGGGGUUGCGACUGUUUACCAAAAACACAGGACUCUGCGAAGUCGCAAGACGACGUAUAUGGUCUGACGCCUGCCCGGUGCUGGAAGGUUAAGGGGAGAAGUCAGCCGCAAGGCGAAGCCUCGAACCGAAGCCCCAGUAAACGGCGGCCGUAACAAUAACGGUCCUAAGGUAGCGAAAUUCCUUGUCGGGUAAGUACCGACCUGCACGAAUGGCGUAACGACAUCCCCACUGUCUCGGCCAGCGACUCAGCGAAAUUGUAAUGGGGGUGAAGAUACCCUCUACCCGUGGCAAGACGGAAAGACCCCGUGAACCUUCACUGCAACUUGACAGUGAAGUUCGGGACAUUCUGCGUAGGAUAGGUGGGAGGCAUUGAAGUCGGGAUUCUGGUCUCGAUGGAGCCAACGUUGAAAUACCACCCUGGAUGUUCUGGACUUCUAACCUAGGCCCCUAUACCGGGUCGGGGACGCUGUCUGGUGGGCAGUUUGACUGGGGCGGUCGCCUCCCAAAGCGUAACGGAGGCGCACGAAGGUUCCCUCAGCCUGAUUGGAAACCAGGCGUAGAGUGCAAAGGCAUAAGGGAGCUUGACUGUGAGACUGACAGGUCGAACAGGUGCGAAAGCAGGUCUUAGUGAUCCGGUGACUUCGUGUGGAAGAGUCAUCGCUCAACGGAUAAAAGGUACUCCGGGGAUAACAGGCUGAUCACGCCUGAGAGUUCAUAUCGGCGGCGUGGUUUGGCACCUCGAUGUCGGCUCAUCGCAUCCUGGGGCUGGAGCAGGUCCCAAGGGUUUGGCUGUUCGCCAAUUAAAGCGGUACGCGAGCUGGGUUCAGAACGUCGUGAGACAGUUCGGUCCCUAUCUGUCAUGGGCGCAGGAUACUUGAAGGGAGCUAACCAUAGUACGAGAGGACCUGGUUGGACGUACCCCUAGUGUUCCGGUUGUUCUGCCAAGAGCAUAGCCGGGUAGCUAUGUACGGAACGGAUAACCGCUGAAAGCAUCUAAGCGGGAAGCCGGCCCUAAGAUGAGGUAUCCCGGGCUGCAAAGCCCCUGAAGGCCCCUUGAAGACUACAAGGUAAUAGGUGGGGUGUGGAAGCGCAGCAAUGCGCGUAGCUGACCCAUACUAAUCGGCCGUGAGGCUUGACCUG
This 1531-nucleotide ribosomal RNA is filed under the name metagenome. Its description in RNAcentral is "bacterial LSU rRNA". It matches the Rfam family "Bacterial large subunit ribosomal RNA", at positions 1429 to 2925 of the family's 2925-position model. The record is from RNAcentral.